This is a long non-coding RNA of Chelonia mydas (Green sea turtle), 276 nucleotides long. RefSeq lists it as uncharacterized. The transcript is spliced from 3 exons. The record is from RefSeq and is a predicted model, not a curated record. Lineage: Eukaryota; Metazoa; Chordata; Testudines; Cheloniidae.
GCCACAACGCCGGCUGUUCCUGCGGGUGCAUACGCACCUCUCUGCUGCCUUACCUGGGAAGAGCAUCCAACCCAGAAUGGGGAAAAGCCUCAUUGCUCUGCCUCUCCCCGCAGCCUGGUGGGACGUCGGUUCCAGAUGCUCCUGAAAGAGCUGGAUGAGACAGAAAAGAGAUUGAAUUAGAGCCAAGUUACAGCAACAGUCUUACCAACAUCACAGCAGCGAGCAGCAACAAAAUGAGAACCAGCAGGACGCAUGGUAUCAGGACGUAGAAGAGGA